RNAcentral lists this ribosomal RNA (497 nucleotides) under uncultured bacterium. Its description in RNAcentral is "partial 16S ribosomal RNA". It matches the Rfam family "Bacterial small subunit ribosomal RNA", at positions 28 to 507 of the family's 1533-position model. The record is from RNAcentral.
GAUGAACGCUGGCGGCGUGCCUAACACAUGCAAGUCGAACGAACAUACCGGGAGCUUGUUCUUCUGUCGUUAGCUGCGGACGUGUGAGUCACACGUGGAUAAAAUACCUAUAAGACUGGCAUAACUUCGGGAAACCGCAGCUUAUACCGGAUAAUAUAUUCAACCGCAUGGUUUAAUACUGAUAAUCGGUUUUGCUGUUGCUUAUCCAUGUAUCCGCGCCGCCUUAGUUAGUUGGUCAGGUAACCACUUUCCAAGGCAACGAGGCGUAGCCUACCUAACAGGGUGGUCGGCCACACUGGAAGUGAGGCCCGGUCCAGACUCCUGCGGUAGGCCGCAGUAGGAAAUCUUCCGCAAAGGGCGAGAGGCUGGCGGAGCAACGCGGAGUGAGUGAUGAAGGACUUCGGAUCGUAAAACUCUGUUAUUAGGGAGGAACAAAUGUGUAAGUAACUGUGCAGGUCUUGACGGUACCUAAUCAAAAAGCCACGGCUAACUACGUG